CCUGACUGCUAUCGGAUUGAUACUAAGCCAUGCGAGUCUUUGUAGUAAUACAAGGCAGACGGCUCAGUAACACGUAGUCAACCUACCCUAUGGACGAGAAUAAUCUCGGGAAACUGAGGAUAAUACUCGAUAGAUCAUAAUGCCUGGAAUGGUUUAUGGUUAAAAUGAUUCGUCGCCAUAGGAUGGGACUGCGGCCUAUCAGCUUGUUGGUGAGGUAAUGGCCCACCAAGGCGAUUACAGGUACGGGCUCUGAGAGGAGAAGCCCGGAGAUGGGUACUGAGACAAGGACCCAGGCCCUAUGGGGCGCAGCAGGCGAGAAAACUUUGCAAUGUGCGAAAGCACGACAAGGUUAAUCCGAGUGAUUUCUGCUAAAGAAAUCUUUUACCAGUCAUAAAACCACUGGUGAAUAAGGGGUGGGCAAGUUCUGGUGUCAGCCGCCGCGGUAAAACCAGCACCUCAAGUGGUCAGGAUGAUUAUUGGGCCUAAAGCAUCCGUAGCCGGCUCUGUAAGUUUUCGGUCAAAUCCAUGUGCUCAACGCAUGGGCUGCCGAAAAUACUGCAUAGCUAGGGAGUGGGAGAGGUAGACGGUACUCAGUAGGAAGGGGUAAAAUCCUUUGAUCUAUUGAUGACCACCUGUGGCGAAGGCGGUCUACCAGAACACGUUCGACGGUGAGGGAUGAAAGCUGGGGGAGCAAACCGGAUUAGAUACCCGGGUAGUCCCAGCUGUAAACGAUGCAGACUCGAUGAUGCAAUGGCAUAGAGCUAUUGCAGUAUCGCAGGGAAGCCGUUAAGUCUGCCGCCUGGGAAGUACGUACGCAAGUAUGAAACUUAAAGGAAUUGGCGGGGGAGCACCACCAAGGGGUGAAGCCUGCGGUUC
Molecule: ribosomal RNA, 876 nt
Filed under: uncultured archaeon
Lineage: Archaea
Description: bacterial SSU rRNA
Rfam family: Archaeal small subunit ribosomal RNA
Source: RNAcentral